CGUGUAGGCGGUUUGUUAAGUCUGAUGUGAAAGCCCUGGGCUCAACCCAGGAAGUGCAUUGGAUACUGGCAGACUUGAAUACGGGAGAGGGUAGUGGAAUUCCUGGUGUAGGAGUGAAAUCCGUAGAUAUCAGGAGGAACACCGGUGGCGAAGGCGGCUGCCUGGACCGAUAUUGACGCUGAGACGCGAAAGCGUGGGUAGCAAACAGGAUUAGAUACCCUGGUAGUCCACGCCGUAAACGAUGAGAACUAGGUGUUGCGGGUAUUGACCCCUGCAGUGCCGCAGCUAACGCAUUAAGUUCUCCGCCUGGGAAGUACGGUCGCAAGACUAAAA
RNAcentral lists this ribosomal RNA (333 nucleotides) under uncultured bacterium. Its description in RNAcentral is "bacterial SSU rRNA". It matches the Rfam family "Bacterial small subunit ribosomal RNA", at positions 568 to 899 of the family's 1533-position model. The record is from RNAcentral.